CUCCCAGGCUUGGUUUUCUCCAUCCUUGAGAAUAAAUUUCCCACACAUUUUCCCACAUUUUUGGAUCUCUGUGUGUGUGUGUCUCAGUGGCAGCGCCGAGGACGCGGUGUCACCGCCCCUGUGCCAAGGUGUGGGAUCUCAGGAUCUGAGUCCUGAGAUGCUGAGCCUCCGAGACCACCCUUGGGGGGCCCGGGAGUCCUGGAAUGUUGCCAGAAGUGUUUGGUGGCAGGACUUUGACCCUACACGGGAGACGACACCUUUAUGAAGAUAAGAGGACUUCACCGGGGUGAAUGGCAAAGAGAUUAGCUAAUUAGAGGGUGAGACACAGGGUUUAGGAUUUAUGUACAGGGGGGUUUAGAGGAGUAAGAUGGAGGAAUUGGGGUGUGUCCUGUCCUNGUUUGGGAUCCCUCUGUUCCUCAGGGAUUUCCCUCUGAUCCCAAGGGGGGUUUCUCUCUUUUAGGGUUUCUCCCCUGUUAAUUCUGAUCCCCCUGGAAGGCAGCUCCUCCCAGGGAAUUCAGACCCGGAUUUGGGGUCGGGAUUGGGAUUUCCCCAUGGAAAAAGGGUCUGAUCCCCCUGGAAGGAUUUCCCUAUGGAAAAAGGGUCUGAUCCCCAUGGAAAGUAAGCUCCUCCCAAGGGGUUCAGACCCGGAUUUGGGAUUGGGAUUUCCUCAUGGAAAAAGGGUCUGAUCCUUCUGGAAGAAUGCUCCUUUCAGUGGGUUCAGAUCCAGAUUUGGGAUUGGGAUUUCCCUAUGGAGAAAUGGUCUGAUCCCCAUGGGAUUUCCCCAUGUUAAAAGGGUCUGAUCCCCCUGUAGGGAAGCUCCUUUCAGGGGGUUCAGACCUGGAUUUGGGAUUGGGAUUUCCCCAUGGAAAAAGGGUCUCACCCCCAUGGGAUUUCCCCCUGGGAUUCCCCUGGAAGGAUGCUCCUUUCAGUGGGUUCAGAUCCAGAUUUGGGAUUGGGAUUUCCCCAUGGAAAAAGGGUCUGAUCCCCCUGUAAGGAUGCUCCUCCCAGGGAAUUCAGACCUGAAUUUGGGAUCGGGAUUGAGCUUUCCCUAUGGAAAAAGGGUCUGAUCCUCCUGGAAGGAUACUCGUCCCACAGGGUUCAGAUCCAGAUUUGGGAUUGGGAUUUCCCCAUGGAAAAGGGGUCUGAUCCCCCUGUAAGGAAGCUCCUCCCAGGGAAUUCAGACCCGGAUUUGGGAU
RNAcentral lists this long non-coding RNA (1196 nucleotides) under Zonotrichia albicollis (white-throated sparrow). RNAcentral's name for it is "lncRNA (ENSZALG00000002756.1)". The record is from RNAcentral. Lineage: Eukaryota; Metazoa; Chordata; Aves; Passeriformes; Passerellidae.